This is a long non-coding RNA of Passer domesticus (house sparrow), 737 nucleotides long. RefSeq lists it as uncharacterized. The transcript has 2 exons. NCBI's taxonomy places the organism in Eukaryota, Metazoa, Chordata, Aves, Passeriformes, Passeridae. The record is from RefSeq and is a predicted model, not a curated record.
UUUAAUUUCCUUGGGAGAAACAACAUGAACAGAACCAAGGCCAGUUCUAGGCAGGACUUUCCUGCAUUUAGGUCCCUUCCUGCAUCCAGGUACACUCCCAUGACAACCAAGGGGUUCGAACCCAGUAAAAAAACCAGAGAGGCUGAAAGGUCUGCACCACCUAUCAGAGAGUACCACGGCACUUCAAUCUUCCCAUUGACCCCUAGGGAAGGGAAGGUUGAACUGGUAACUUGAUGCCAUAGCAACUGUGCAUACUAAUGAGAGAGCUUCCCAUCAAAAACCUCAGAGAUAUCAUCCCACCCCAGUGACAGCACACUCUGGGAAAGAAGAUCUUACCUCAUCAUCUACUAGCACCAAUCACCAGAGAUUAUGGGGGCAGAACUGCAAGUACAGACUGAGGGAACUGAGAACAUCAAAGGGGCAGCCUGGCCUGAAGAGCUGUCUUUGCUGUCUUUUACUGUUCCUGGGACUGUGACUUAGCUACAGCAGGGGACCCCACACUGCAGAUUUCAGUCAAUAUCUCUUUUUAGAGACCUUUUUCCAGAUUUGAGGGCAGACUAAGCGCAUUCACUGCAAUGCCCUUGGGUUCUGGCCUUGGGGCCAGACGCCAGUUCGGCUAGAGGUUUCCUCAAUCCUUGGGCCUGGGACUUUAUCCUUUUUUCUUUCUUUCCUUUCUUCUUUUUCCUUACCUCCCCUUUGUUUUUCCCCUUUAAAUAAACACCCUAUUUUUGUUCAAA